RNAcentral lists this ribosomal RNA (459 nucleotides) under uncultured bacterium. RNAcentral's name for it is "partial 16S ribosomal RNA". It matches the Rfam family "Bacterial small subunit ribosomal RNA", at positions 338 to 795 of the family's 1533-position model. The record is from RNAcentral.
CCUACGGGAGGCAGCAGUGAGGAAUAUUGGUCAAUGGCCGUAAGGCUGAACCAGCCAAGUAGCGUGAGGGAAGACUGCCCUAUGGGUUGUAAACCUCUUUUAUGCGGGGAUCAAGGUGUCCACGUGUGGAUGUUUGCAGGUACCGCAUGAAUAAGGACCGGCUAAUUCCGUGCCAGCAGCCGCGGUAAUACGGAAGGUCCGGGCGUUCUCCGGAGUUAUUGGGUUUACAGUGAGCGUAGGCGGAAUAUCAAGACAUCGGUAAAAAUUCGGGGCUCAACCCCGUCGUGCCGUUGAAACUGAUGUUGCUGAGUGGGCGAGAAGUAUGCGGAAUGCGUGGUGUAGCGGUGAAAGGCAUAGAUAUCACGCAGAACUCCGAUUGCGAAGGCAGCAUACCGGCGCCCAACUGACGCUGAAGCACGAAAGCGUGGGUAUCGAACAGGAUUAGAUACCCCAGUAGUC